AACCAAAAAACCGCAGGGGGGACCGAGGUUGGCGGCCGUGCCUUCAGACAAGGCAGGUCGAACGGCGAAAGGUUUUCNUCGGAAACCCGAGUAGAGUGGCGCACGGGUGAGUAACACGUGAGUAAUCUGCCUUUGGGGUGGGGAUACCAAUCGGAAACGAUUGUUAAUUACCGCAUAACGCAGCGGCAUCGCAAGAUGACAGUUGUUAAAGCGGGGGAACGAAGCAAUUCGUCCUCGCGCCAGGAGAGGAGCUCGCGGCAGAUUAGGUAGUUGGUGAGGUAAUGGCUCACCAAGCCUGCGAUCUGUAACCGGCCUGAGAGGGCGUUCGGUCACACUGACACUUAGAUACGGGUCAGACUCCUACGGGAGGCAGCAGUCGGGAAUUUUGGGCAAUGGGCGCAAGCCUGACCCAGUAACGCCGCGUGAAGGAUGAAGCAUUUCGGUGUGUAAACUUCGCAAGAAUAGGAAGAAUAAGAGUAAGCAAAUACCUUGCUCGAUGACGGUACUAUUUGUAAGCCCCGGCUAACUCCGUGCCAGCAGCCGCGGUAAUACGGGGGGGGCAAGCGUUGUUCGGAUUUACUGGGCGUAAAGGGUGCGUAGGCGGCACCACAAGUCACUUGUGAAAUCUCCAAGCUCAACUUGGAACGGUCAAGUGAUACUGUGGAGCUAGGGUGCAGAAGGGGCAACCGGAAUUCUCGGUGUAGCGGUGAAAUGCGUAGAUAUCGAGAGGAACACCUG
This 738-nucleotide ribosomal RNA is filed under the name uncultured bacterium. RNAcentral's name for it is "bacterial SSU rRNA". It matches the Rfam family "Bacterial small subunit ribosomal RNA", at positions 1 to 712 of the family's 1533-position model. The record is from RNAcentral.